This 120-nucleotide ribosomal RNA is filed under the name Castor canadensis (American beaver). Lineage: Eukaryota; Metazoa; Chordata; Mammalia; Rodentia; Castoridae. The record is from RNAcentral.
GUCUAUGGCCAUACCAUCCUGAAUGCAUCCAUUCUUGUCUGGUCUCAGAAGCUAAGCAGUGUUGGGCCUGGUUAAUACUUGGAUGGGAAAAAGAUCUUCAGAGGAGACUGUUCAGAGACA